AGAGGCACCUGGGAGAGUCCAGAGUGAACAUUGUCAGACUGAGCUGGGCCAUGUGAGGAGAGAGAAGCAGGGAAAGCAAGGGAGGAUCUACUAACAAAGAGCGGAAACCUGGGCUAACAGAUGAUGCAGCCCAAAUGGAGCCAGAGAAACUGAGGGAAGGGAAAACCCAGCCCAGUCUCUUGGCUGAAGAGGUACAGCAUGGAGUAUGCCAGCCAGGAGGACCCUGGAACAGCUCCUGCCUCCAGGUUCCUGCCCUCUGUGAGUUCCUGUCCUGACUUCCUUUGAUGAUGAACAGUGAUGUGGAAGAGUGAGACAAAUAAACCCUUUCUUCGAU
This 334-nucleotide long non-coding RNA is filed under the name Rattus norvegicus (Norway rat). RNAcentral describes it as "long non-coding RNA NONRATT017355". The record is from RNAcentral. Lineage: Eukaryota; Metazoa; Chordata; Mammalia; Rodentia; Muridae.